GACGAACGCUGGCGGCGUGCUUAACACAUGCAAGUCGAACGGAAAGGCCCUGCUUUUGUGGGGUGCUCGAGUGGCGAACGGGUGAGUAACACGUGAGUAACCUGCCCUUGACUUUGGGAUGACUUCAGGAAACUGGGGCUAAUACCGGAUAGGAGCCCCUGCUGCAUGGUGGGGGUUGGAAAGUUUCGGCGGUUGGGGAUGGACUCGCGGCUUAUCAGCUUGUUGGUGGGGGAGUGGCUUACCAAGGCAUUGACGGGUAGCCGGCCUGAGAGGGUGGCCGGCCACAUUGGGACUGAGAUACGGCCCAGACUCGUACGGGAGGCAGCAGUGGGGAAUAUUGCACAAUGGGCGGAAGCCUGAUGCAGCAACGCCGCGUGCGGGAUGACGGCCUUCGGGUUGUAAACCGCUUUCGCCUGUGACGAAGCGUGAGUGACGGUAAUGGGUAAAGAAGCACCGGCUAACUACGUG
Molecule: ribosomal RNA, 468 nt
Filed under: uncultured bacterium
Lineage: Bacteria
Description: partial 16S ribosomal RNA
Rfam family: Bacterial small subunit ribosomal RNA
Source: RNAcentral